GUUUUUUGGGAGAUGGAAGUCUAGAAUUUAUAACCUGAUUUUUGUGACUUUGUGGGCUCAAAAGAGAGAGGUCCAAGUCCAAGAUUUUUCUGUUAUAUUUUAUUUAUUUAUUUAUUAUUAUUUAUUUAUUUUGUUUUUUUUUCAAAACGCGUGGGUUUCACCUAGCGAAGGAAUUGCUCGCCUAGCGAGCAUGACAGUUCAGUUCGCCUAGCGAACCAUGC
Molecule: long non-coding RNA, 221 nt
Filed under: Lathyrus oleraceus (garden pea)
Lineage: Eukaryota; Viridiplantae; Streptophyta; Magnoliopsida; Fabales; Fabaceae
Description: Pisum sativum (pea) long non-coding RNA (PSAT_LNC025369)
Source: RNAcentral